CUUGCCAAGAAAACCUCUAUGGAUAGCUCUGGACCAUGCGGUUACAAGAAAUCCAACAUGACUGAAUGACAACUGACUGAAUAACAGGGGAGGUCAGGAAAGGCCUCAUUGUCUCAAGAAGCAGCAUUUGAGCGGAGUACUUAAGGGUGCUGGGGAGUUGAAGAGACAGAGUCAAGGAGGGAACACAUAGAAGGCAGCCCAAAGGCACAGCCCCUUCCAGAGGCUAAGGGACCGGAGAGCCCAAGGGAUCUGAGAUACUGUAGAACUGGACCUCUCUACUCCAUUGUGAACAACCAUUCCGAGCGUUCAUCCAUCCCUGGCACUGGAGUCCUUGUACCUGGAACUGGUACCAUUCCUACGAUCACUGACUCCCAUUCCUGACACUGAGUUCCCAUCACAUCCUCAAUCCAGAGUCUACAACCCUAAUAGUUAGUCCCCACCCCCACCAUUUGAGCCCCAUAGCUUUACUAAGCACUCAGCCAUCAUCCCCAGUUCUCAGCUCCUAUCUCCUCCACACCCACACUAGCAUCCUUGGCUUCCACUGUCUCCUCUUUGUUUCUUCGGUCUCCACCCUGCUCCACUGUUCUGUGAUCCUAUCACCACUCGGAAACAGACACUCCCCCCUUGGGGCCUGAGAUAGGCAUCAUGAGUCCUUGCCAAUUAUUCCAGCAGUGGGGGAGGAGGAGGCAGACAUUGGACACAGGCCUGCUCUUCCUGCUCUCAGCCUCCUUUGGCCGGAAGGCACCCAGAGGCAGACUCCUGCCUCCCCUCCUGUCCAGAACAUUCCCUUCCUCCAUUCUUCCUCAAUCUCCAGCAAUGUCCAGACCCUAUUCAUAUUCUGGCCAGGCCUCUGAGAAGAGGUCUCUGCUUUCACCCUAUGCAUGUCUCUGCAUAAAUACACAUUAGCCAUCAUUAACCAGAUGCUGACACAUCUAUCGGAAUCCUACUGCAUCCUCAUUGAUUCUCAUCAUUGAAACAUGGGGAAAUCGAUGCACUCUCUCAUAAUGCACAGCUUUGCCUCUCCCCUCUUCCUGUCCCCUUUCCCCCAGCAUUGACUCAAGAGCCCAUCCUAACAGGGAAGCAAGCAUCCCACUGGGAUGUUCAGUGAGGAAACAGACCCUCCUCCCCAGUGAGGCUCUCAGCCUUAGGGAAGGCAUUGGUGUUAGUGCUAUGUACUAUGGACCCAAACAGGCUCCAAUUUGGGACUUAUGAGAGGAAAAGGAAAAGCAUGACAAGUAGUGCCAUUCAGUAAAGUGGGCCAGAAGUGUGGCUAGCAGGAUCCUAGCAGAGGGAUCUUCCUGAUGGUUAUAAUAUCAUCACAAUGUAGUGUACAAAGCGUUUCCUUCACAACAAUGCCGAGGGAGAGGCAGAUAGUGAGGUGUUAUUGUCCUAAUUGAGGUCUGGAAACAUAACAUGACCUAUGCUGUGCAAUGGUUUAGCUGCCCAGUGGCAGAGGGGAUGGGACAGAGUGCUGAGGCCAAGAGCACUGCAAAGAUGCUUGAGGGUAGGUUUGGAACACUAAGGGUUCACGUGGAAGCAAUUUAAAUUUCUCUCCACUCUGGGAGAACUCCAUGCUGAAAUUGGGGCUCACGGUUAGGGCUGGAAACUCAGGGUUAAGGAAGGAGGCUCAGGGUUAGGGCUUGGGGUUCAGAGUUUAGGGCAGGGACUCAGUGCUAGGACUGAGGCUGAGGGUUAAGGAAGAGGAGUCAGUGCCAGGGACAGAUGCUUAGUUAGAGUGAGGGCUCAAUUCGUGGUAAGGUAGCUUUCUGUCAGGAAGUGGGUUGACACCAGAGAUAGAGGCUCAGUGCAAAUGAUGAGUGCUCAGGGUUGAGACUGGGGACUCAGUUCUGGAGAAAGGGCCUGGGUUCUGGGAACUAGGGUUCACUUCUGGGAAUUGGAAUGUAACUGAGGAGGAAUAAUAAGAGAAUCCUUUACAAAGGCUAAGGAAGGACCCUGGUAUUCUCAUAACCUAGAGAUCCCUACCAAACCUCUGAGACAGAUCCAGGGGCUAGGGCCAUAUUAGGAAGUCAGAAGGCCUUCUGAAGACUGGCAAACCAUCUCUGUUACUCAUUUCAGUUGAGCCCUUCUCUGGGAUCCAUAACACACUCACUCACACACACACACACACACACACACACACACACACUCACACAGAUUUGCAUGCACACAUUUGAGAGAUGGCAUCAGAUGGUGGAAUGAUAAUAGGGUCCACUGGAAUCAAGGUACCUGGGUUUGAAUCCCAGCCCUGAUACAUUCUAUGUGAUCUUAGGCAACUUAUUUGCCCUCUCCAGGCCUCAGUUUCUUUAUGUGUAAAACAAGGAGAUUAGGAUAAUUAUGAAGUCCCUUCCAGGCAGUGAAUAUGAGUCAGGGAAUAAGCAAUCCCAUGACUCUAAGGCAACCACACCAUAGCAGACCAGAGAGAGGUGCUAAUACCAGCAAAGGGCCAACAGAUCAUGCCCACCCCUGCCUGAGGCAAAGGGGCAAUAACUUGGAAAAGAACAUUUUUUUUUGUCUAGUCCUUUGAAAGUGUGUAUGUGGGAGAGAUCAGACAGUUAUAGAUCAGUUGGAUCAAAGGAAAUGUAAUUCAGUGGGGCAGAAAGAAGUAGGCAACUGAGAAUGAGAAAGUCUGGGUUCUAAUUCUAUUUUUCCUACCAAUAAACUCUACUUUUGGCAAGUUCCUUCCCCUCAUGGUGCCUUCGUUUCCUUAUUUGUAAAAGGGAGGAGUAAAAGAAGGUGAAGUCUCUUUAUAUCUGAUGUUCCGUGAUUUAAUGAUAAUUUUUUUCAGUUACCUGAGAACUCAUGAAGCAGGGUUUUGUUUUG
Non-coding RNA from Monodelphis domestica (gray short-tailed opossum), 2820 nucleotides. The record is from RefSeq and is a predicted model, not a curated record. Lineage: Eukaryota; Metazoa; Chordata; Mammalia; Didelphimorphia; Didelphidae.